CGAACGGCCAUUGGACGAUCAGCCUUUGGGCCCCCUUGAAUCGUUACUGACGUCACUGGAGAACUCCAUGAACGGGGGAUUUUGCUUCUACUUUACGCAGAUCUCCUCUCGUUUACUCGUGUCUCGUCGUGGAUUAACGGAGCAACCUGUUAUUCAGAAGGCAUCCGUUGGGUUUCUUCGUGACGUGAUACUGAUUGUUUUUUCUCGUUCUCGUUUUCCUCAAUACUUAGAAGGAAAGAGACACUCGGUAGACGUACGCAGGUCGUUAGCGAUGGAUGUUUAAAAGUCUUCGAAGUUUUCUAGCGAUCCAGGCAUACCGGAGCUGCCAGGCACUUUGGGUUUUCAGUGGAAUUCGAGGAGUCUUGAAGUAUUUAAAUAUCGAAACCUUUCGAAGUAGCGAAGUUUGGAAUUUUCAUAUCUUGGAUCUUGAAAUCUUCAAUCUUGGAAUUUUAAACCUCGGAGCAUUUUUCAACCUGAAGCAUUAAAUCUUGAGCGAUUGAAUUUUGAAGUGUUGAAUCUUGAACGAGGAGAUCAGGUAAUGAAUUCUGAUAAGAAAACGAUGACAAGUGAUAGAGAUUUUGUAACAGGGUGGAAUCGGUUUAACGUCGAUUCAAAUUCUUUGAUCGUGUUUGCGAUGGUAUUCGUAUUAAUGGUAAAUUGAUUGGUUAUGAGAGCGUGAAUCGAUAAGCGUGAACAAUGAUCGAUGAAUAAACAAUCGUUGUUAUUUAUGAAAAUGUGAAUACGAUACUUGAGAAUGAUCGAUCGAAAAGAAACUAUAACAAUCAUUUUCAAAAGAUGAACUGUAUUCACAAUUGCGCCACAACGUAGCUAAUUAGCAAAUUAAUUAAUCUCUGUUUCAUUUCAAGUUCAUUAUACAUGCGAAUAAAUUUACUAUUUACUGUUGCGUUUCUAUAAAUGUGGAAACCUCGAAAUCUGAUUGUUUGAUAAGGAUUGAAUUUAUAAAUCAAGGAUUAAUAAUAAAUUUAUAAAUUCCCAUUUUAUAUAAUUAAUUCCAGACUAAUUAAAAUCGUUUUAUCUAUUUGUAGUUAAUGAAUCACGGUUCUCGAGUCAUUUAAUCGUUUUUCCCCAACGAUGGAUCAUUUUCAUAUUUUCAAUAUGUAAAAACAUUCAUACUUUUUUUCUUUUGCAAUUCAAACGAAUUUAUCGUAUUAAAGUGAAAUAAGUAUUGUAAGUAAAAUUCAAACACGAUAAAUUACAAGGUGACGAUAAAUUAACACGUCGAUAGUCAAAAUGGAAAUGGUCACGCGUAGUCAGACAUACAUUACGAAAAUUCAAAUGGUUUCGUACGAAUUCAAUUCGCGAUGAGAGUUCCUUUCUUCAUUUGUGAAACCACCUGUAAACAAUGAAACUCAACAGGUGAUCGAUUGACCCAGUUCUCGACAAAUAAAUUCGCUCGAUUACCAAGCUUCCUGAUCCUCGAAACAAAGUGAUCAAUUGCCCAAGGCGAAAUCGCAGUGAGUAAUGAAAUCCAUUCGCGAAACUCCGGAUACGGAGAAGCCGAGAACUCGGGAACUCCACUAGCAAAGACUCGUGUACUAUGUACACUCGAUACCCUUGAGGAAUAGAGAACUUCACUUUGUUAAGACUUAUUUACCGACUAAAUUCUUUUCGUAGAAUUUAAAAUAUCCGAUGUGAAGAUUGGAAAAUCGAGAAAACCUGGGAAAUUAGAAAAACUGCGAAAAUUUGGGAACUUAAAAAAUGAGGAAAAAUUGGGAACGCCGGAAAAUUGGGAAAAUUUAGAAAAGCAGGAAGGCUGGAAAAUCGAGAAAAAUUGGAAAUCUUGAAAAAUUGUGAAAACUGGUGAAAUAGAAAAAAAUUGUGAAUACUGGAAAAUUUGGAAAAGUAGGAAGACUGGAAAAUCGGGAAAAUUUGGAAAUCUUGAAUCUUUUAUUUCACAAAUCACUCUAUUUUUAAUUAAAAACAUGUUACUAAAUGCAAAUUUGAACGUCACUACAUGGAUAUCACUGAAAACAUGAUAAUAGGUAUUAUCCUGUGUCUGAUUAGGUAUACGUGUUUCUACUGUGUGUUUUUAGUCAUGUUUGUAGUAACAUUUACCAUACUAAGUAAGUAAGGCUAUUUCAAUCGUGGAAGUCACCGUGUUAAUUAUAUAUCUCUUUAAUUGUACACAUUUUUUCCCCGAAGAUUAUCACAAAGACUUGUGUAAAUCGACCUUCGUCAGGAUUCUGCGAGAAUGUCGAUCGUAGGUAUAUUUCAUUCAAGUCAAUCUGUCAUUCCGUAAUGACUGUAAAAAUUAAUCGAUUCAUUCAUAUUCAGGAGUAUCACGAACCGAUUGAUUCUUGAUAAAAUCACUCUGACCCAGAACUCGAGCUUUUCAUGUUUUCCAAAUCUCACAUCACUUAAUUGCACUACAAGCACAUUACUCUUUGUUUAUAUUACAUAAUUUUUUCUUGUCAAAACAAGUUGAAAGAUGGUAAAAACAAGUGUGUUCCUUGUUGUUGUUUGGAAAUUAAUCAGGUGUACGUGUAAGAUAUUGAACAAAUGGAAAAAACAAGGUGAACGUUAUCGUAUUUAUUUACGUAACGUUUACGAAAAUUUAUGAGCGGUAAAAAUAUUAAAGAAAAUGAAAGAAUAAAGCGAUUUCGUUAAAGAAAUUGCAGCUGUUACAUUCGCAAAUACUUCAACAUCUUUCUCCCAUUGUAAUCUUGACGUUCGAAUCAGCUUUAUCACUUUUUAAUUCAUGGAAACUUUUCAUCUUUAUCACUGAUAAAUGUAUGCAUGUGAUUUCAACAUUUCGAACAUAAUUUCUGAAAUAUUAUAAUAAACUCUUCAAUUUGAAAUUUUUCUUUUCCUUCAAGAGUCACAAUUAUUAACACAUAAUUGCAAAUUUUGCAUUUAUUAUUUUUCCAUGGUAAUUAGGGAUGGGAUUAAAAGGUGGUAUUCAUAGAAAAUAUUGCUUCAUUCUGUGAUAAUACAUCAAAAGAGGGAUUUACUCGAAUUGAAGCGAAACGAUGUAUGCAUACCUUUCGCAAACGAAAAACAUUUGCAUAGGUAAUUGCAGCUAUAAAUAAAUUUGAGCAGCGAAUUCCGUUAUCAGAGCAACUGAAAGAUCCAAAGCGGAAAAGAAACACACAUUAUACCGUUGCUGUUGGGAGCUGAAGAAUUAAUUCAGGAGAAUGUUAAUUGGGUACUUUGUUCGUUUAUGUUGAUUUAAGAUGAUUUUAAAACUUAUGCAAAUAUCUAAUAUAUGUGCAAAAUACUUAUCUACGUCAAAUUACGUAUAGAUAUAUAAAAGCUUCGGUAAAAAGGUAAGCGAAAAAUAAAUGUAACGUACAAUUAUUUAGAUAAGAAAGUUACACGCGAAAGCAUUUUCGACCGAUGUGUAACUACCGCAGGAAAAUAAAAUUUAAUUCACCGACGGAUUUGGAGCAGCGGCAUUAUUUAGAUGAAUGACGGUAUAAUGCAGGAUGACAGCUUAAGGCGCCACACAAUAAAACACGCGGUUAGAACACUGGUGUCUGUGAAAAAACGAAACACACCACGUGUACUCGAAGCGUUUCGUAAUAUUGAAUCGAUUCCUUCACAAACGUAACCUUCGACUGAACGAAUAAACUUAAAAAUAGUGUAUACGAGAAAUGUAAAGAGUUAGAACAUUCCCAUGAUCAUUAAAGAAGAAAAAAAGAAUUAGAAAUUAAAUUAAAUUUUUUUAAUUAAUCAUGGAACUUGGUAAACUUGGAAAAUUUGAGAACCAACAUCAAGAAAAUUUUUCUUUCUUUUCUUUUUAAUUUUAAUUAGAGUUUCUUGUCACGAGGAGAAAAAAAGACACCUGUUGGGAACGAUACGUUCCUUGAUCUUGUCAGCACCGCUUCCAUUCGGAAGAAGGUAGCCGAUGACCUUGGUAGCAAAGAACAGCCAUGGAAAGCCCAUGGUUCCCAACAGUUCUUGGAGUUUGCCAGAGGCGGACACCAAAGAACCGGAGAAGGUCGUUCGUGUGAUUACCAGAAGCCACGAAGACGAGUUUGAAACCGGUUCAUGGAAGAGAAUCGAGAUGAAGGAGUAAGAAGACGAGUAUUCUUGAGCGUGUGUAAAAUGGUUCGAGAGGAGGAGGAAAGAAAUCGAAGCAGAAUUUCAUUCGAACCAUCGUUUCAUCAUUGAUUUGCAAGUUUUUUUGGUCAAUUAAUAGAUCGUUGCAUAUCAAAUGGUCGAUUUGGAAAUAUAGACAUUUUGAUAGAAUUUGAUGACAUAAAAGUAUCGCAAAAUGGCACUUGUGAUAUAUCAAAUUGAAGCUUAAAGUUUCACGAAAAUAACCACAUAAGGGUUUGAUUGAUAUUUUUCAUAUAAAAUGGCUGGUGAUCAAUUAUAACAAAUUAUGACCAUAUAAACGUUUUAUUAAUAUUCUAAACCUUGCAAAUGAUCAUGACAUUGAUAAUAAUAAAAAUGUAAUUAUUUCCACUUGUAACUGGAAAACAACGAUCAAUUAGAAAAAGGAUAUUAAAAUGAUAGAAGGCUUUCAAUUUAUCCAUAAUAUAGUUACAUAAUGCAAAAACAUGUUCUAUAUUUUAAUGUUUCAUCAUUUCCAUUGGCGUGUGUCACUCGAAAUGAUGUCUAAGCGAAGGUUGGAUCUAUUGUGAACGUUCAAUUCGAAGUAGUUGGAAUUUUUAGACACUUCCCUCUAACGAAGACGGUUCAUUCAAUUGGCCAAAAUAUAAGUGACUGUUUGAAACUCUAUAUCAACGAAAUUGACACGAGCCACGAAUUUCGACGUCAACUUUUUAAUAGGAAUCAAUGAUCACCAGAAAUUCCAAUUACUCGUUACAUAAGAAAUAAAAGAAAAAUUACAAGUUUCGCUCCAAAUGGAAUGAAAAUGAAAUGAAAUAGAAUAAAUUUGUCAAUUCUUUGCAGGAAAACAUAUAAAAAACUUCGACAAUAAUGGAAGACUGUUGAAUUGACUAAUUUCUAUACAACGAUACUAUAGUUUUAUCAACUACUUAUUUCAACCACAAAUUACCUGAUAAACGUGUAUCGUUAAAAAAAUAUAAGUGAACACGCAAGCGUGAAUGACGUAAGAAUUUAUGGAACAAACUUGUAAGUUCUUCAUCGCGCGUAAUUCUUGAUAUUUAAAAGUAAAUUGCAUGUCGUUGAAAUGUCACCGAAUGCUGCAACGAAACGGGUCUCGAAAUGUGCAGUUAUCGAUGUCAUUACUCUCUCCUCUUGUUGACAACCAACUAACCGCGUAAAGGGAUAUUUAAACGAGUAAAUAAAGAGAUACAGGGUGUCCUUCUUUAUCCUCUUAAUUAUUCGUUUAUCAAUAAAAUGUCUCAGAUAGAAGAACAAGACGAGAACAAGUGGCCAUCUCAAGAAUUAAAAUUGGCCAUUCCAGAAUCACUCGCUCCUACAGACUAUCAAAAACUCCAGCUCCCCAAUGUGAAGAGUGUGACUCGGCAAUAUCCAUAGAUCAUUUAAUCCUCCACUGUACUAAAUAUGAUUUCCUCCGCAACAAACAUAAACUAGAAUCUUCUCUCAAGGACAAUUUAAAAAACAGUAAAAUACAGGACUUACUCAAAUUUAUAAAAGAUACUAAACUAAUAGAACUGAUAAUGUAAGUUUUACCUACUCCUUGAUGUCGCUAAUAACCUUGUAAUUGAUGUGACAAUAAACCUUAAUUUAAAAAAAAAAAAAA
Osmia lignaria (orchard mason bee) is the source of this 5659-nucleotide long non-coding RNA. RefSeq lists it as uncharacterized. The record is from RefSeq and is a predicted model, not a curated record. Lineage: Eukaryota; Metazoa; Arthropoda; Insecta; Hymenoptera; Megachilidae.